This 874-nucleotide long non-coding RNA is filed under the name Mus spicilegus (steppe mouse). RNAcentral's name for it is "lncRNA (ENSMSIG00000008266.1)". The record is from RNAcentral. Lineage: Eukaryota; Metazoa; Chordata; Mammalia; Rodentia; Muridae.
AAGGAAGGAAGGAAGGAAGGAAGGAAGGAAGGAAGGAAGGAGAAAGAGAGCAGGCAGGCAGGCAGGCAGGCAGGCUUUGAGACAAAAGCCUUGUACUGUGCCUGUUUUUUCCCUGACACUUUGUAAGCAGUUGAAAGGUAGUGAAUGGACAGGUGAGUGUUCUGCCUCUGCCCAGCUCCUCUCUGUCACUAUGUGUGUCCAACCUCAGCCUGUGGACCACAUGUGACCCAGGGCUAAGGAGAGCUACAAAAACUGCUCAACAUAAACUCUCACUUCCCCAAAACAGGAGAUUGUUUGAGAUUUCCCCAAGGAUUGCACAGCAAGCACUUUACCAACAGAGGGACCGCCCGAGCUACAGAGACUCUCUCUCUUCAGUCUGCUUAGAGUUGGCCACAUGUGCAUGAAAGGAAAGGCGCCAAAAGAGUAAGCAGAGCGCUGGGGAGCGGCUCCAGUCAGAAGAGUGGAUUCCAGUCAGAAGAGCGCUUGCUUAUAUUUGAUUUUGCAGAACUCACAUUAAAAAGCUGCGUGUGGUGGUGCAAGUACUUGUAAUCUCAGAGCUGGGAAAGCCGAAACGCACAGCUAGACAGUCUCGGCAUAGCAAAAGGCUCAAGCGAAAGACGCUGUCUCAAAAACAACAAAAAAAAGUGAGGCUGCCGAGGUGCUCGUGGAUGACGGCAUUUGCAGAUAAGCAUGACGUCAUGGAUUUGAUCUCUGGAACGCACCAAGUGGAACAAGAGCACCAACGCCCUUGAGCUGUCCUCUGACAUCACAGUGGGUUGAGCAUUUCCCCGUUCCCACACAACAAACAAAUACAUGUAAUUUAAAAAAGAAAAAGAAAACAAGCUGGAAAGCAACUAAGGAACAACAUUGGAGG